GGAAGAUUCGCAUAAUGGUAUUGCAGCAGGUUGCUAACCUGUGGACCGAAAGGUUCUGUGAGUUCGACCCUCACAUCUUCCU
RNAcentral lists this transfer RNA (82 nucleotides) under Aeromonas phage Akh-2. RNAcentral describes it as "tRNA-Ser". It matches the Rfam family "tRNA". Rfam says of the family: Transfer RNA (tRNA) molecules are approximately 80 nucleotides in length. Their secondary structure includes four short double-helical elements and three loops (D, anti-codon, and T loops). The record is from RNAcentral. Lineage: Duplodnaviria; Heunggongvirae; Uroviricota; Caudoviricetes; Demerecviridae.